GCAUUAGUGGUGUAAUGGUUAACAUGUGGUCUUCCCAUCAUCUGUUGGUAUACUUAUGGCCGCGUUCGGGGUUCAAUUCCCCGCUAAUGCA
Molecule: non-coding RNA, 91 nt
Organism: Armillaria borealis
Lineage: Eukaryota; Fungi; Basidiomycota; Agaricomycetes; Agaricales; Physalacriaceae
Source: the annotation of a GenBank genome assembly